RNAcentral lists this non-coding RNA (45 nucleotides) under Trichobilharzia regenti. Lineage: Eukaryota; Metazoa; Platyhelminthes; Trematoda; Strigeidida; Schistosomatidae. The record is from RNAcentral.
AUCCAGACGACGAGUCCCAAAUUGGAUGAAAUGUGCAUCCUGGAU